ACCGGGAUUGCCUUAGUAACGGCGAGUGAAGCGGCAAAAGCUCAAAUUUGAAAUCUGGUACCUUCGGUGCCCGAGUUGUAAUUUGGAGAGGGCAACUUUGGGGCCGUUCCUUGUCUAUGUUCCUUGGAACAGGACGUCAUAGAGGGUGAGAAUCCCGUGUGGCGAGGAGUGCGGUUCUUUGUAAAGUGCCUUCGAAGAGUCGAGUUGUUUGGGAAUGCAGCUCUAAGUGGGUGGUAAAUUCCAUCUAAAGCUAAAUAUUGGCGAGAGACCGAUAGCGAACAAGUACAGUGAUGGAAAGAUGAAAAGAACUUUGAAAAGAGAGUGAAAAAGUACGUGAAAUUGUUGAAAGGGAAGGGCAUUUGAUCAGACAUGGUGUUUUGUGCCCUCUGCUCCUUGUGGGUAGGGGAAUCUCGCAUUUCACUGGGCCAGCAUCAGUUUUGGUGGCAGGAUAAAUCCAUAGGAAUGUAGCUUGCCUCGGUAAGUAUUAUAGCCUGUGGGAAUACUGCCAGCUGGGACUGAGGACUGCGACGUAAGUCAAGGAUGCUGGCAUAAU
Molecule: ribosomal RNA, 553 nt
Filed under: Saccharomyces cerevisiae (brewer's yeast)
Lineage: Eukaryota; Fungi; Ascomycota; Saccharomycetes; Saccharomycetales; Saccharomycetaceae
Description: partial large subunit ribosomal RNA
Rfam family: Eukaryotic large subunit ribosomal RNA
Source: RNAcentral